Molecule: ribosomal RNA, 394 nt
Filed under: uncultured bacterium
Lineage: Bacteria
Description: partial 16S ribosomal RNA
Rfam family: Bacterial small subunit ribosomal RNA
Source: RNAcentral
AUACGGAGGAUGCAAGCGUUAUCCGGAUUUAUUGGGUUUAAAGGGUGCGUAGGCGGAUGAUUAAGCGUGAGGUGAAAUGCCACUGCUCAACAGUGGAACUGCCUCGCGAACUGGUUGUCUUGAAUGCUCCUGCCGUGGGAGGAAUGUGUGGUGUAGCGGUGAAAUGCAUAGAGAUCACACAGAACACCGAUUGCGAAGGCAUCUCACGAAGGGGUGAUUGACGCUGAGGCACGAAAGCGUGGGGAUCAAACAGGAUUAGAUACCCUGGUAGUCCACGCAGUAAACGAUGAUAACUAACCGCUGGGUCGUAGUGAUUCAGUGGCCAAGCGAAAGCGAUAAGUUAUCCACCUGGGGAGUACGACCGCAAGGUUGAAACUCAAAGGAAUUGACGGGG